GGAAGGGAGAGAAAAGGAGGCUGAAGCAGCUUUGUUUUUGCCUCACAAGGCAGCGGCAGCGGCGGGAGCGUGCAUGUGUGUACUUGAGAGGUGAGGAGGGGACAGAGUCACUACUUGCAAACAACACAAAUAUAGUGUCCCUACUUUGCGGAUUUUCACUUUUCGUGGGUGGUCCUGGAAUGUAACCCCCACGAUAAGUGAGGGAACACUGUAUUGCACUUUGACUCAUCACACCACAAAAGGCUGGCUACUCGAUCCAUUCAAAACACCCCAUCAUCAUUCUAUGACCUUUUAAAAAGUAUCAUUGCUGAUGGGAUGCAUACAGAUUUUUCUGUCAUACACAAAAACAGCACUUCAGCAAUGGAAGAAUCCACAAUAUUUGAAAAACACAAUUAGAAUUCCAUCUGCAAAUAAUUUGUUUCUGUGAUGCUUUGCAGACAGAUUUCAGCGAAAUACUGAUGGGAUGGGCAAACAUCAUGUGAUGGGACCCAUUCAAAAUCAUUCUCAAACUGUCUCAGGAACCGAGUAUCUUCUAAUGUGAUAAAGUCCUUCAACACUUGGGAUACAGAGAUAUGUGAAACUGUCCAGAUAGACCAUUGAUGUACAUCAUUUUAAUUAAUCUUCCAUGAAGAUCUAGUUAUAUUAGUGAACAUAUAACUUUAUAUAGCAAGAAAGGGCAAACUGUGGUGCUAUCACAGAGAAGAUCCUCUUCUAUGUCCUUCCACCAUGUGCUACCCAUACCUGUGGGUAAGGGAGUCUCUUCCAAUAGAGUUCUUAGGAAGACAUUGAGAGAAAGGGACCUUUCCUUGAUUAUUGAGCCCCCAAACCUUUUAGGGCUUUAAAUGUUAUCACCGGCAAUCUGAUUUCAGUCCAGAAAUCUAUUGGCAACCAGCAUUUUUUUUAAAAAAAAAUAACAAUGUUAUAUGGCUUCUGAAUGGUGUUCCAGUCAGCAAUUCAAGUGCUGCAUUUUGCAUCAGCUGCAGUUUCCAAGUUGUCUACAAGGGUAGCCCCAUAUAGAAUGUUGUACAGUUGUCUCAUUAGGAAGUUACCAAUACAUAGAUUACUAUGCCUGUCCAGGAAACCUAAGAAACCAGUUGAAUCUGGCCUCAAGCACUCCAAACCACACAGUCUACUUGGGUAUCCAGUGACAAAGAUGGCUCUAGGGCCUAUUUCAAGUUAUGUACCAGCUUCUUUAGACGACCACAUCCAAGGCAGGUAGUUCAGCCAGUUUACGGGCCUGACUAACCCAAUCUGUUGGUCAUCACAAUCACAUCUACACAUUACCUAAAAUAUUGUUAGUGGAAUCACUUGGAUCUCAGCAAGUGUAAGGACUAGAAACUUCACUCUAAUGAUGUGUAAGAAUCCAAGCUGAAUAUUGCAACACAUAGACAGCAGGUGGCAUGCUUAGAAACCAGGCAAAACCUGGCAGUAUAAGCCACAUACAGAUGAUGCAGCCAAGCACAGGCUCUGAAGAUUCAUCAUGCACUAUUUUCUGAAGUCGGAUGUUGACCUUACGGACCUCAAUUGUAAGCAUUGUUUUCUAAAAUUCAGUCUCAUCAUUAGAUAGAGAGAGUGAAGGAAAUAUACACUCAUCCACUACUAUGAUGUGUUGUUCUCUGAUUCCCUCUUUCUGUAUUCCUAAUCCACUCUCAUCUAGCCCUUCUGGUUUCUUGUUUCCUUAGGUCUCUAAUUCUCCUUUUGAGAGUAUGACUACUUGCCAAUC
Molecule: long non-coding RNA, 1723 nt
Organism: Anolis carolinensis (green anole)
Lineage: Eukaryota; Metazoa; Chordata; Lepidosauria; Squamata; Anolidae
Source: Ensembl